This 497-nucleotide ribosomal RNA is filed under the name uncultured bacterium. RNAcentral's name for it is "partial 16S ribosomal RNA". It matches the Rfam family "Bacterial small subunit ribosomal RNA", at positions 28 to 507 of the family's 1533-position model. The record is from RNAcentral.
GACGAACGCUGGCGGCGUGCCUAAUACAUGCAAGUUGAGCGAUGAAGAUUGGUGCUUGCACCAAUUUGAAGAGCAGCGAACGGGUGAGUAACGCGUGGGGAAUCUGCCUUUGAGCGGGGGACAACAUUUGGAAACGAAUGCUAAUACCGCAUAACAACUUUAAACAUAAGUUUUAAGUUUGAAAGAUGCAAUUGCAUCACUCAAAGAUGAUCCCGCGUUGUAUUAGCUAGUUGGUGAGGUAAAGGCUCACCAAGGCGAUGAUACAUAGCCGACCUGAGAGGGUGAUCGGCCACAUUGGGACUGAGACACGGCCCAAACGCCUACGGGAGGCAGCAGUAGGGAAUCUUCGGCAAGGGACGAAAGUCUGACCGAGCAACGCCGCGGGAGUGAAGAAGGUUUUCGGAUCGUAAAACUCGGUUGGUAGAGAAGAACGUUGGUGAGAGUGGAAAGCUCAUCAAGUGACGGUAACUACCCAGAAAGGGACGGCUAACUACGUG